GCUAUGGCUUAGUUGGUUAAAGCGACUGUCUAGUAAACAGGAAAUCCAAAUUCGAAUCUCAGCA
This 64-nucleotide transfer RNA is filed under the name Dallia pectoralis (Alaska blackfish). RNAcentral's name for it is "tRNA-OTHER". The record is from RNAcentral. Lineage: Eukaryota; Metazoa; Chordata; Actinopteri; Esociformes; Umbridae.